Molecule: ribosomal RNA, 443 nt
Filed under: uncultured bacterium
Lineage: Bacteria
Description: partial 16S ribosomal RNA
Rfam family: Bacterial small subunit ribosomal RNA
Source: RNAcentral
CCUACGGGAGGCAGCAGUGGGGAAUAUUGGACAAUGGGGUGAACCCUGAUCCAGCGACGCCGCGUGAGUGAAGAAGUAUUUCGGUAUGUAAAGCUCUAUCAGCAGGGAAGAAAGAAAUGACGGUACCUGACUAAGAAGCCCCGGCUAACUACGUGCCAGCAGCCGCGGUAAUACGUAGGGGGCAAGCGUUAUCCGGAUUUACUGGGUGUAAAGGGAGCGUAGACGGCGAUGCAAGUCUGAAGUGAAAGGCGGGGGCUCAACCCCCGGACUGCGUUGGAAACUGUAUGGCUGGAGUGCAGGAGAGGGAAGUGGAAUUCCUGGUGUAGCGGUGAAAUGCGUAGAUAUUAGGAGGAACACCAGUGGCGAAGGCGGCUUACUGGACUGUAACUGACGUUGAGGCUCGAAAGCGUGGGGAGCAAACAGGAUUAGAUACCCUAGUAGUC